AGGAGGAUAACUUUAUGCUUUAUUAAGGUUAAAAUCAGGUAAUCCACCUGAUUAUUAAAAGCCAUAUCCCAAAGUGUAGGCCACACAGUGUCUUUAUUGGUAGCACAAGGGAAGGCAAAAAUGUGUUCUUUAGUAUGGACAUUUAUCUGGGAUUUUAAUGCCCAAGCAUAAUUGUCUUCAUUUUCUUUUUUAAGUGUCACACAGAAAGGAGGAAACAUAUUUUAGGUACUUUAUUAUGAAUUAUGUGAAGAUGUUUGGCUAGUGUUAUGAAAUUAACAUUGGCUAAUGCAAUAUCACUCGAUUCUGAAAACCAAAUCAUGAAGUUCAAGCAACAAAGCCUCCACUGACACUCAUAUUCAAAAAACAUUGCAGGUUUUGAUUUGUUUGAUUGGACACAGCAGUCCAGAUUUAUCAAGUGGUUAAAAAAUAUCCAGCACGAAAAAAUUCUACCAAUUUUCACAAGACUUAACUAUCAAAGUAUCGUUAGCACCAUUUGGCAAAGAAAGGACUAGAAUUAGGUUUGAUUUGUCCAUUGUCUUUAACGUUCGGUAAUGGUUUCCAAUAACUUUCUGUCACAGAUCCUCAUUAAAUGGGCAUUAAUGUGAGGGAGAAAACUAAUAUAUAGAUAUAUUCUUUAACGUUAGUUUCAUGGCAAAAUCUGGUCUGGAUUUCUUUGUUCAAAUCUAGAUUUUGCAGUAAGGAUGUUGGUUCAAUUGCAAUGUAACCGUUUUGUCUAUGUUUGUGUUUAAACAGGUGAAGUUCUUCUAUGUGUACCCUAAAUUAGCAAGGUGACUGUUCAUUCUUACAUAUUGUGAGGUAACUGACAGAAUCAAAUGCUUUAUAGUAAAGUCAGCUGUUCUUCCCAAAUAAUGCCAGCUCUCACCAGCAAAUGACCACAGAGAAAUCUCAUUUAUUUCCAAAUAAUUAUUCCACCAUAUUAAUGACAAUAAGAUGAAAUAAAAAAAAUAAUUACUAUUAAAAUUGCUUGGCCAUGCAGUUUGUGUUAUCCGUGUCCAGCAGAAUGGAUGGCAUUUGGAUUUCAAAAAUCCCCCAUAAUCCCUUUCCUUUGUUUAUAUGUUUGUCGUUACACAUGGAUAUCUGUAUCAAACAGUUAUUUGAUUUAUUUCUCUCUCAUCCUGAUGCUCUUAAGUACAAUAUUAUAAUUUUUUUUAAAUUGUUAAAUUGUACAAAAAAACAAAUAAAUAAUAAAUCCAAUUUUUCUUUCUUUUAAUCCCCAUCACUGUGCAGUUUGCAGUUAUUGCUGAAUGGGAUGCAUAAGUACAUAGAACACGUUUAUCUUCAUCUGGAUAGAAUGCGUUCAAGUACAGCUAAACAUCUGUGCAAUAAAGGCUACUGCAGGCCUCAACUGCAGCUGUAAGGAAACUCUGUAAUGUGUUCAGUGUGCAGACACCCCUUCUCUCCCUUCCCUUCCUGCAAGGUGUGGAGAAGAUAAUGGGGGACAGUCGUAAUUUACAUUCAGAGACAGAAUGGAUCCCUGUCGAAUAAAUUUGUUUCCUUGCAGGAUGAAACCUACCAUUGCAGCAAAAGCGAACACAAGUGGAGCUUUGUGAGCUAAAUUAAAUUUUCCUUUGCAGAACAUGUAGAAACAUUUAAUUUUGUUAUGAGAGAAAUGCCAAUUUAGCAUUUUCAGUAAGUAAAGAAUUCUCCUUUGAAAAAUAAUUUCCCCAUCAUUAAUGUCCUUUUAAUUAAGGGUUACCAUUGUAAAAUGAAAACACAGACAGGAUAUUUUGCAAAACCAGCUGUUCCUGCCUCCUAGGUUAAUGCCAGAGUUACUGGAAUCAAUAUAAAAAAGCAGGUGUUACAUGCUACAGUCAACAUAAUCCAGAGAAAACCAUCUAAUUUUAAAAAAUAAAUUAAAGCUAAUAGAUACAGUAAUGUUCCUUUCAGAGAUGUUACUUUGAGGUCAGUAGAAUUAUUCAGUCGGUCCAUCUCAAAGAAAAUGUUUUUUUGUCACUGAUAAAGGGUUGGAGUCCAGGAUUGUACACAUUGUGAAAAACUCAUUAUUUAUUUAAUCGAAUCACUGAUGGCUAUGCCAGGGUUAAUUUCCACCAAGUCAGUUAUUUCACAGUUCCACCAGAGUUUGAGAUACCAAAUUCCCUUUCUGCAGUGAGGUAGAAUGAACAGGUGCCCUUUAAGGUCAAAUGUUAUAUAAACAUAUAUAUUUCUUGUGCAUGUGUCAGACAUUUAAAAUGUAUGUAUAGUUUAGUCUUCCCUGCUAAUGAUGUGCUUCUAUCAUUCCACAAAGGAAGAGGCUGAGCCUUUCAAAGAAUUUGGUUUGAAGCCAAUCACAUAAAACAUGAAAAAUCAGUAUGAUGAAUUCAAGUUUUCUAAUAUGAUACAUCCAUAGAAAAACUACAAGAUGCCUUAUAAUAUCGGUGACAAUUUUAUAUUUCUUGAGCUUUACAAAUACAAGUCUUCUCUAUGCCCAGGUGGUAAUUUAAGGACCAUGUAGGGGUACACAAGAUUAGCAUAUAUUACAAUUAAUGGUUCUUUCUUUUGUUGACAAUAAACCCAAAUGAUGGGUUUCAAGUGUUAUGUAAUACACACCAACACAAAUUCAGCAAAAACACUUCUCUUCCAAGUGUCAGAAAAGAAAGACAUUCUUAAAACAUUAAACUAUUGUUUGUGAGCACUUACCUGGGUCAGCCACAGUGGGACCUGACUAAUAUGUGAAACAUUCACUGACAGUCACACUCACUGAUCACACACACUCUCACUGCCUGCUUCUAGGCCAAUGACUCUACCUGUCUAUCUUUAAGCCACACCCCCUUUUGUAAUCAGACGCACUCUCUCACUAAUAGAGAUACACACUCACUGAUUUGACACACACUGAGACGUACUGAUACUCUCAAUAACAGACACACAAUCUAACUGAUUUGAAACACACACUGACAGACACGCUUACUGACAGGCACACACAUACACACACUCUCAAUGACAGACAUACACUCUCACUGAUUUGAAACACACACUAGCAGACACAAGCACUGACAGACACACUGGCACACUGUCUCAAUGACAGACACACAAUCUCACUGAUUUGAAACACACACUGACAGGCACACUUUCUGACAGGCACACACAUACAAACACUUUCAAUGACAGACACAUUCUCAGUGUUUCGAAACACACACUGGCAGACACACACACUGACAGACACACUGGCACACACUCUCACUCAUAGACCAAGCAGGACAAAUAUAUGGGAGGAGGGAGUAUAUAGUCUGUAUUGUGGGGGAUGCAGUGUAGCGAAUGGCACUGGGCUGUCCUGCAAAUGUCCUUGAAAUAAUUGCAUUCGUGUGAUCUGCUAGUUUUCUAUGUGUUUCAAGCCUUGUAUUCUUUUGAUUGUUCGGUAGUUUCAUUCCCUUAGUUUAUUCGAAUGAAACUACCGAACAGCCAGACCUCCCCUGUGUAAAGUGUGUCCUCAAUUACUCGUUGCAACAUUGUUGCGAACGGGUAAUUGACUAGGAAGUAGCCGUCCUUUGUUCUCGGGGGUGGCCGCCAUUCGACAAACGAACACGUGGCGGC
This 3549-nucleotide long non-coding RNA is filed under the name Pelobates cultripes (western spadefoot toad). The record is from RNAcentral. Lineage: Eukaryota; Metazoa; Chordata; Amphibia; Anura; Pelobatidae.